GCCAAGCCUAGGUCCGUACACCCGAAAGCCGGAUUCGUCACCCGGUUAGGCUUGGCUCCCUUCUGACGG
Molecule: small RNA, 69 nt
Filed under: Methylotuvimicrobium alcaliphilum 20Z
Lineage: Bacteria; Pseudomonadati; Pseudomonadota; Gammaproteobacteria; Methylococcales; Methylococcaceae
Description: Methylomicrobium alcaliphilum 20Z int-alpA RNA
Rfam family: int-alpA RNA
About the family: Acidobacteria (1 example), Planctomycetes (1 example), Proteobacteria. Environment (Lake Washington)
Source: Rfam by way of RNAcentral